AUGCCUAACAGCUAGCCCACUCAAACAACUUCAACAAAACGAUAUUUAUAGCCCCAAAAGACACUAAUUUUAAGUUAAACAAACCAUUUUUCCCCCUUAGUAUAGGCGAUAGAAAAG
This 117-nucleotide ribosomal RNA is filed under the name Pungitius sp. Freshwater type. RNAcentral's name for it is "partial 16S ribosomal RNA". Lineage: Eukaryota; Metazoa; Chordata; Actinopteri; Perciformes; Gasterosteidae. The record is from RNAcentral.